This is a long non-coding RNA of Bolinopsis microptera, 1918 nucleotides long. RefSeq lists it as uncharacterized. The transcript is spliced from 4 exons. NCBI's taxonomy places the organism in Eukaryota, Metazoa, Ctenophora, Tentaculata, Lobata, Bolinopsidae. The record is from RefSeq and is a predicted model, not a curated record.
AACUCCAAAUUAGAUUACGUUUUCACACAUGGAGUCAGCUCAACCGGUUUAUAGCGUUAGAACUAGCCAGGUUGAUAAGAUUUGCAAUGCUAAGAAAAACACUUAUCGCUUUACGUGGGUACAGAGGAAAGAAGAUGGACAGCAAUCAUAAGACCCCUCUAUCAGAAGUUUCAUACAACCUCAUCCCUGCCCCUAUGAUGGAGUACACCAGCUGUGGAUGGAAACUGGGCAGAUUGGGGUCAAUGGAGCACAUGUAUCUGUGAAGAAGCAAAUUCAGCCACAGGCACUUGGUCUAGCUCCCGAACUUGCACUAAUCCUUCUCCUUCCUGUGGAGGAAGUUCCUGCUCUGGAGACUCUAAACGGACCGAAAGUUGUACCAAGGAUUGCACUUCUGGUGCAGUGGGCAAUUAUCUUGUUAUAUCACUAGAUUCUCCGACUGUACAACACUGAUUCCAAUAUUGAGCAUAGGACAUAUAUUGAUAGAUCCUGACCUACCCAUUGAGAACGAGAUGGACCUUACUCUUAGUUGCAAGGACAAUAAUUACUACCUGAUGGGCAGCAGCUCCUACACUUGUGAAAACGGAACUUUAACAAUCCCAGAGGACCUAGAUGAGCCUACUUGCGUUAGAAUGCCGUACUGGACUGGGUGGUCUAACUGGAACUACCACCAAUGUAAACACAUGACCGUGGAGGAAGGUGACCUGAAAGGAAACUACUCAGAUUGCUCUGUGCUACUAAAUAGAACUUGUAACCUAGAGGUUGAGGAGAGAACUUGCGGUGGUGCUGCUGAAAAAAUACAAGAGUGUCCUGAUGUUUGUAAUUCAGGUUUUAGCAAUGGUUAUGCCUAUUAUAGUGCAAUUGUUCUGGUUUGGAUUUUGAAGAUUUUUGUAUUAUCUUUUACUGCUUGACGAUUUUGUUUCCAGCUAAAGUUCCUAGCCAUUGUAUAGCCAGGGCCCAGGAGCAACAACUAACGAGGUGUUCAAACUAACUUUAGUUCAACUUUUUAGAUCGUUAUUAUAACAUUUCAACCUGUUUUAAUUUUUGAGUGUUCUUAUAUUACUGAGUAUAGCAGAAAAAUUUUUAUUUGAAAACAAAUCAUACUAUGUGUGGGCAUUUUUUAGACUAUUUUUAAGUCUUGUUGUACAACAUUUUACUGUAGUAAUUAUAAGACUAUUUAACUUUUGUAAUAGUUAAAAAAGUUAAAUAGUCAAAUAAUUGGCAUUUGGUUUUGUAUUGUGUUAUUAUUGUAGUUGUUGUUGUCAAAGUAGAAGGCUGGCAAUUUUUUUAGGGACUCUUCAAGGUCUGUAGAUCGAAAAAAAUGUAUCUACGCUUCUGCACAUCGUAGAGACUUUUUGGAUAGGCUUAGAUUAUCCUCAUUGGCCAUAUUUAUAUACUUGAACUUAUGAAGAGACAUUAUAUAUAUAUGCCAAAAAAUGCCCAAUUUUUGAGUUACUGGCAAAAAACUGAUUUGGUCACACGUAGACCCAAUUUUGCGAAUAAUAAUAAUAUAAACUGCAAUGAAAAACAUUCAUCCACAAACUUCUAGUACUAAUAUAGUAAGAUGCUGAGAUUAUAUUAUAGGUUCAUAUGACAUAUAUGGGCAUGGCCAAAAGGGUGAUUUUCCCAGUAAUUUUUGGCUCGGAAUUUUUGUCGUUCUAUAGAGGAGGCCCAACAAAGAUUUUCAGCCUUCUACUAUGAAUGGCAGGUCAAUGUGCAUGAAUGACCAAACUAUAGUAAUUAUAAGAAUAUUUAACAUUGAUUUAUCAUUGACAUUAAUUGUCAAACUGAACUGCCGAAUUUUUAUCAUGUAAUUUAGAUAGUUUUUUUUCUUCAUAAAGAUGCAAUUUUUAUUAUAAAGAUACAAUCUGUCUUUUAUUACUUGUAUGUGUUGUGUUGAAGCGUGUUAUAAAUAAAAGAA